Non-coding RNA from Sus scrofa (pig), 2609 nucleotides. The record is from RefSeq and is a predicted model, not a curated record. NCBI's taxonomy places the organism in Eukaryota, Metazoa, Chordata, Mammalia, Artiodactyla, Suidae.
GGUCUUCUUCCUCCCUUCGAGAGCGCGUGUCGAGGAGGUGGGAGGGCGGUGUCCGUGAGCGGUUGCGGUCGUGGGGCCGAGGGCGCACAGGAUAGGGAGGGCCCUGGGGCUCCCGGGGAAGAUGCUGGCCUCAACACUAGCUCACACCAUGUGGACGGCGGAUGAGAUUGCACGGCUGUGUUACGAGCACUAUGGGAGCAGGCUGCCCAAGCAAGGGAAGCCUGAGCCCAACCGCGAGUGGACGCUGCUCGCAGCCGUGGUGAAGAUACAACCUGCAGCUGACCAGGUCUGCGACUGCCCUGACAGACCCGUGCAAGUGACAAAAGAAGUUGUCUCAAUGGGAACAGGAACCAAAUGCAUAGGCCAGUCCAAAAUGAGGAAGAGCGGAGACAUCCUCAAUGAUAGCCAUGCCGAGGUCAUAGCCAGAAGAAGUUUCCAGAGGUACCUCCUCCAUCAGCUGCACUUGGCGGUCACUCUGAAGGAGGGUAGCAUCUUUGUCCCAGGAACUCAGAGAGGACUGUGGAAACUCAGACCAGACACCUUGUUUGUGUUUUUCUCCAGCCAUACACCCUGUGGCGAUGCCUCCAUCAUUCCAAUGCUUGAGUCUGAAGAUCAGCCUUGCUGUCCUGUCAGCAGAGAUUGGGCCAAUAACCCAUCAGUGGAAGCCAAUAAUAACCUAAAAGCCCCCGAAGGUAAAAGGAAAUGUGAAGACCCAGAUAGUCCUGGGACCAAAAAGACGAGGGUUGAGCCGGGGCCUCCUGAUGGUAUGACUCACCAUCAGAGUUUUGACUAUCAGGAAAGUGGCCCAGUCCCACCAGAUGUCAACAGCUCUCAUCUCACUGCAGAGGAACUGGCUACCGUCCCUGGAAUGGCCCACAGUGGUGCCAAAGUGGUGGACAUUUAUAGAACUGGAGCUAAGUGUGUGCCUGGAGAAGCUGGUGACUUGGGAGGGCCUGGUGCUGCGUAUCACCAAGUAGGACUGCUCCGCGUGAAGCCAGGCCGAGGGGACAGGACUUGCUCCAUGUCCUGCAGUGACAAGUUGGCACGGUGGAACGUUCUUGGAUGCCAAGGGGCACUGCUGAUGCACUUCCUGGAAGAGCCUGUCUACCUGUCAGCCGUGGUCAUUGGAAAGUGCCCGUACAGCCAGGAGGCCAUGCAGAGAGCACUGAUUAGAAGGUGUCGGACCAUCUCAGCUUUACCCAAAGGCUUUGGAGUUCAAGAAGUGAAAAUACAGCAGUCAGAUAUACUAUUUGAACAAAGCCGCUGUGCGGUGCAGGCAAAAAAGGCUGACAGCUCAGGCCGACUUGUUCCUUGUGGGGCAGCCAUCAGCUGGAGUGCAGUUCCUGAGCAGCCUUUGGAUGUUACUGCCAAUGGUUUUCCACAGGGAACAACAAAGAAAGCAAUCGGAAGCCCUCAGGCCAGAUCCCGAAUCAGCAAAGUAGAGCUCUUUAGAUCAUUCCAGAAGCUGCUAAGCAGUGUUUCAGAGGACAAGUGGCCAGACUCACUCAGGGUGCAGAAGCUAACGACGUACCAAGAAUACAAAGAGGCUGCAGCCACUUACCAGGAGGCCUGGCGCGCACUCCGGAAGCAGGCAUUUGGAUCCUGGAUCAGAAACCCACCAGAUUACCACCAGUUUAAAUGAGAAAAGCUUGCUGGCAGCAGGUGUUCUCCGUCCCUUCAUGCUGGAUCACCUCCUUCCUACAGGCUGAACAAGCCUUAGCUUCCCCUGCAACUGAUAAGGGAAAAAAAAAAAAAAAAAAAAAGACCGCCACCUACCAGAGCAAUAUAUCUCUUCUGUGUGAGAUGGGUGGAAUUCCCGAACAUGGCACAGUCUAUACUUGAUUGGAGUAGCUCUCUGCUAAAAUAGCAUCUUGCUAGUGACCUUGGUAUGUGUCCUGUGUUUUACUGCUUCUCUAAGAAUUUGGAAUAUGAUGCUUUAAAAGUACUCAGCAGUAGCUCCAUUUUAUGUGUUCCUACGCUGAUGUGGCAAGGAUUCAUUGGGCUGAGAGGAUAAUUGAAUCUCUGCAAGUUUUAGAGCUUCGCCUGUCAUAGUGGACAUGUAUUUCGCACCCCCCGCCUUUCUUCCUUUGGAGAGCCACCCUGCUCUGCUCUAUCCACGAGACUUGGUUGAUGCAAACUUUACUCCUUAGCUCCAGAAAUGUGAGCCAGACCUGAAGAGUCUGGAAUUAUUGCCAGAGCCGUCAGCGCCAAGCAUUAGCUCACUGUCUGGGGAGACAAGCUGAUGUGGAGAAAAUGACCUGUGCUGGCCGCCACCGGCGUUGCACUUGGAAGAGAAGCAGGCCUUGUCUGAUCUGGUCGUGUCGUGUCUGGCUGAUGGAAAGCUGCCUUCACCUGGCCCUUGGCAGCACUUUUUGGCUUCAGACAGUGUUUGGAGCAAGCCUUGGGCAAAGUUUUCCAGUCUCUAAAACCCAGAGCUUGCUAGUUAGUUAAAUGGCUUGGGACAGUGUUAGAUUUUCAGCUGCUACUUCCCUCCUGUGAUGGUGUCUGGGGGUGUCAGAGGAGCUGUUAAAAGAAGUCCCACUGCAGCAGAAGGUUAUUGAAACUAAGAAACAGCUUCCAAGUAAAAAGAUAAAUGCACUUGUACUCAC